Molecule: transfer RNA, 66 nt
Filed under: Rattus norvegicus (Norway rat)
Lineage: Eukaryota; Metazoa; Chordata; Mammalia; Rodentia; Muridae
Rfam family: tRNA
About the family: Transfer RNA (tRNA) molecules are approximately 80 nucleotides in length. Their secondary structure includes four short double-helical elements and three loops (D, anti-codon, and T loops). Further hydrogen bonds mediate the characteristic L-shaped molecular structure. tRNAs have two regions of fundamental functional importance: the anti-codon, which is responsible for specific mRNA codon recognition, and the 3' end, to which the tRNAs corresponding amino acid is attached (by aminoacyl-tRNA synthetases). tRNAs cope with the degeneracy of the genetic code in two manners: having more than one tRNA (with a specific anti-codon) for a particular amino acid; and 'wobble' base-pairing, i.e. permitting non-standard base-pairing at the 3rd anti-codon position.
Source: Rfam by way of RNAcentral
GGGGAUUUAGCUCAGUGGUAGAGCGCUUGCCUAGUAGCAAGCGCAAGGCCCUGGGUUCAGUCCUCA